RNAcentral lists this unclassified non-coding RNA (243 nucleotides) under Hevea brasiliensis (rubber tree). The record is from RNAcentral. Lineage: Eukaryota; Viridiplantae; Streptophyta; Magnoliopsida; Malpighiales; Euphorbiaceae.
CUAACUUCUGCUGCAGUUCCAAAGUCCCUUCCCUUGUUUCAACAUCGACACCUGGAGGCUGCGGCUGAGUAUCGACUUCAGUAGAAACUGUAGAAACAUCAGAUGAACCAGCAGCAGAUGAAACAGAAAUUUGAGCAAUACUAUUGUUUGUAGGCUUUGGCUUCCAUUCCAUACCAGGACCAGCUUUUUGUGGCCCAACCAGUGGUGAUCGGUUAUUGUAAUUAGGUGUAGGUCUACUAAGAG